UCUGACAUUAGAACCCAUCCAAACAACAGAACAUAUAUACAUGGCUCGUGGAUGAAGAGAGUAAACACAAAACACAAGAAAACAACAUAAGAGGAGGAAGAAGAGCAAACCAGAGAGAAAAUGGCUGCUGAAAGUCACUGAAGUGCAAAAAGCAUGGGAUAUUGGAGGAACAGAAAGAUGGCUGCUAAACAUAGUUCAUCUGUCUUGGGACCCCAGUGAGCAAGCAAAGUGAAGGACAACUUGUUGAAGGCAUGGAUAAGACAGCAAAGCAUACAAGUGAUCCUCCCCCCACCAGACAUUCCCCAGGGCUGCCAUAACAAAGUACCACAAACUGAGUGGCACACAACAAGAGAAAUUUAUUAUUUUAUUGUGGUGGAGGCUAGAAGCUCAGAAUGAAGGUGUUAGCAAAGCCAUCGUUUUCCUAAAC
Molecule: long non-coding RNA, 427 nt
Organism: Neofelis nebulosa (Clouded leopard)
Lineage: Eukaryota; Metazoa; Chordata; Mammalia; Carnivora; Felidae
Exons: 3
Source: RefSeq, a predicted model, not a curated record